RNAcentral lists this ribosomal RNA (1662 nucleotides) under Clostridioides difficile. RNAcentral's name for it is "partial 23S ribosomal RNA". It matches the Rfam family "Bacterial large subunit ribosomal RNA", at positions 419 to 2101 of the family's 2925-position model. The record is from RNAcentral. Lineage: Bacteria; Bacillati; Bacillota; Clostridia; Peptostreptococcales; Peptostreptococcaceae.
GGGACACGUGAAACCCUGUGGGAAGCAGGAGGGACCACCCUCCAAGGCUAAAUACUACCUAGUGACCGAUAGCGUAUAGUACCGUGAGGGAAAGGUGAAAAGAACCCCGGGAGGGGAGUGAAAUAGAACCUGAAACCCUGCACUUACAAGCUGUGGAAGCACAUUUCUUGUGUGACCGCGUACUUUUUGUAGAACGGGCCAACGAGUUACGUUAAGUAGCAAGGUUAAGCACUUAAGGUGCGGAGCCGUAGCGAAAGCGAGUUUUAACUGAGCGUUCAGUUACUUGACGUAGACCCGAAACCGGGCGACCUACCCAUGAGCAGGAUGAAGCGAAAGUAAAAUUUCGUGGAGGUCCGAACCCACGAGCGUUGAAAAGCUCGGGGAUGACUUGUGGGUAGCGGUGAAAUUCCAAUCGAGCCCGGAGAUAGCUGGUUCUCCCCGAAAUAGCUUUAGGGCUAGCCUCAAGGUGAGAGAUACGGAGGUAGAGCACUGAAUGUCCUAGGGGGUAUUGCACCUACCGAAGACUAUCAAACUCCGAAUGCCGUCAUCUUAUACUUGGGAGUCAGACUGUGGGUGAUAAGAUUCAUAGUCGAAAGGGCAACAGCCCAGAUCGUCAGCUAAGGUCCCUAAAUGUAAGUUAAGUGGUAAAGGAUGUGGGAUUGCACAGACAACCAGGAUGUUGGCUUAGAAGCAGCCACUCAUUCAAAGAGUGCGUAAUAGCUCACUGGUCGAGUGAUCCUGCGCCGAAGAUUUCCGGGGCUAAAACUUACUACCGAAGCUACGGCAUCAGUAAUGAUGGGUAGGGGAGCUUCCCAUACGGGUUGAAGCAUGACCGUAAGGACAUGUGGACAGUAUGGGAGUGAGAAUGUUGGCAUGAGUAGCGAGAUGUGGGUGAGAAUCCCACAGGCCGUAAACCCAAGGUUUCCAGGGGAAGGUUCGUCCGCCCUGGGUUAGUCGGGACCUAAGCUGAGGCCGAAAGGCGUAGGUGAUGGACAACAGGUUGAUAUUCCUGUACUACCGAUAACCGUUUGAGAGAAGGGAUGACACAGUAGGAUAAGCUAAGCACACUGUUGGUUAUGUGUGCCCAAGCAUUGAGGCAGUCAAAGUAGGCAAAUCCGCUUUGAUAAUGCUGGGAUGUGAUGGGGAGCGAAAUUUAGUAGCGAAGUAGCUGAUUUCACACUGUCAAGAAAAGUCUCUAUCGAGGUUAAAGGUACCCGUACCGCAAACCGACACAGGUGGGUGAGGAGAGUAUCCUAAGGCCAGCGAGAGAACUGUUGUUAAGGAACUCGGCAAAAUGACCCCGUAACUUAGGGAUAAGGGGUGCCACCAUCAGGUGGCCGCAGAGAAUAGGCCCAAGCGACUGUUUACCAAAAACAUAGGUUUCUGCUAAGUCGCAAGACGAUGUAUAGGAGCUGACGCCUGCCCGGUGCUGGAAGGUUAAGGGGAUCUGUUAGAGCAAUCGAAGCAGUGAACUUAAGCCCCAGUAAACGGCGGCCGUAACUAUAACGGUCCUAAGGUAGCGAAAUUCCUUGUCGGGUAAGUUCCGACCCGCACGAAAGGCGUAACGAUUUGGGCACUGUCUCAACAACAGACUCGGUGAAAUUGUAAUUCCGGUGAAGAUGCCGGAUACCUGCGACAGGACGGAAAGACCCCAUGGAGCUU